RNAcentral lists this ribosomal RNA (828 nucleotides) under Triticum aestivum (bread wheat). Its description in RNAcentral is "partial small subunit ribosomal RNA". Lineage: Eukaryota; Viridiplantae; Streptophyta; Magnoliopsida; Poales; Poaceae. The record is from RNAcentral.
AUGCUGGGCGUCUCCACCGGCCAGCUUUUGGUCAUCCUCGGGGCCUGCUCCGUGAUGAUGAAGUCCAGUGACAUGAUCAAGAUGGCAAGGGUGGCAGGGAGGAUGACCGGGAGAGCGGUCGGUCGCCUCAUGCUCUACCGCCGGCAGAUGGACGACAUCUUCGAGCAGACUGCAGCGAAGAAGAUUAAUACAGAGCUUCAAGAUGCUAUGUCAAAGUUACAAUCAAUUGGUUAUGAAGUUCAGAACUUAUCUAGAAUAACUCCUGGCCAGUUUAUCAAAAGGCAGCACAACACAGAGAGCAUGACUGAAGCAGGAACAUCUGAUAGUUCUGCAACUCAGUCCGGAGAAUUUCGUGAUGAUAUUCGCAGUAUAAUUCGUGAUGAAAUUGAGAGCUUUUGUAGAAAAAAUCCUGAUCAAUUUACCAGGAGGUUAAAUAAUCCUGACGGAAUUCAGAACUCUGAACAAACAGCUGAAGCUACACAAUUCGAUGUAACUAGUAAAUUUGCAAUGACAUCUAAGGACAUGGAAUCAGCGAAUACAAGCUCUACAAAUCUGCACAGCCAAGCAAUGAUGUAUUCCAAGCUAAGUGUAUCCCCAGGAAUUAAGAUGAGUUCUUCCAUGAGUGUGAGUAAUGGAGAACAAUUCAAAGAGAGCAAUGGACUGCUAAAUGUACUCCCAAUAUCAGCUGAAAGUGCUGGAUUGCUUCCGAAAUACACAGGUGAGCCAAAAGGUUCAGAUAUACUCCUGGAGGCUGUGCUUGAAGCAGAGGUUGCAGAGAACGCUAAAUUUUUCGUCUCCCAGCCUCAUGAUCAGUUGCCCAAGGAGUAA